CAUGGCUCAGAUUGAACGCUGGCGGCAGGCUUAACACAUGCAAGUCGAGCGGGGAAGAGUAGCUUGCUACUUGACCUAGCGGCGGACGGGUGAGUAAUGCUUAGGAAUCUGCCUAUUAGUGGGGGACAACAUCUCGAAAGGGAUGCUAAUACCGCAUACGUCCUACGGGAGAAAGCAGGGGACCUUCGGGCCUUGCGCUAAUAGAUGAGCCUAAGUCGGAUUAGCUAGUUGGUGGGGUAAAGGCCUACCAAGGCGACGAUCUGUAGCGGGUCUGAGAGGAUGAUCCGCCACACUGGGACUGAGACACGGCCCAGACUCCUACGGGAGGCAGCAGUGGGGAAUAUUGGACAAUGGGGGGAACCCUGAUCCAGCCAUGCCGCGUGUGUGAAGAAGGCCUUUUGGUUGUAAAGCACUUUAAGCGAGGAGGAGGCUACCGAGAUUAAUACUCUUGGAUAGUGGACGUUACUCGCAGAAUAAGCACCGGCUAACUCUGUGCCAGCCGCCGCGGUAUACA
This 514-nucleotide ribosomal RNA is filed under the name uncultured Moraxellaceae bacterium. Its description in RNAcentral is "bacterial SSU rRNA". It matches the Rfam family "Bacterial small subunit ribosomal RNA", at positions 18 to 527 of the family's 1533-position model. The record is from RNAcentral. Lineage: Bacteria; Pseudomonadati; Pseudomonadota; Gammaproteobacteria; Moraxellales; Moraxellaceae.